This 496-nucleotide ribosomal RNA is filed under the name uncultured bacterium. Its description in RNAcentral is "partial 16S ribosomal RNA". It matches the Rfam family "Bacterial small subunit ribosomal RNA", at positions 28 to 506 of the family's 1533-position model. The record is from RNAcentral.
GACGAACGCUGGCGGCGUGCCUAAUACAUGCAAGUAGAACGCUGAAGCUUGGUGCUUGCACCGAGCGGAUGAGUUGCGAACGGGUGAGUAACGCGUAGGUAACCUGCCUGGUAGCGGGGGAUAACUAUUGGAAACGAUAGCUAAUACCGCAUAAGAGUAGAUGUUGCAUGACAUUUGCUUAAAAGGUGCAAUUGCAUCACUACCAGAUGGACCCGCGUUGUAUUAGCUAGUUGGUGAGGUAACGGCUCACCAAGGCAACGAUACAUAGCCGACCUGAGAGGGUGAUCGGCCACACUGGGACUGAGACACGGCCCAGACUCCUACGGGAGGCAGCAGUAGGGAAUCUUCGGCAAUGGACGGAAGUCUGACCGAGCAACGCCGCGUGAGUGAAGAAGGUUUUCGGAUCGUAAAGCUCUGUUGUAAGAGAAGAACGAGUGUGAGAGUGGAAAGUUCACACUGUGACGGUAUCUUACCAGAAAGGGACGGCUAACUACGU